GUCAUUUGUGAGUCAGGUGAUACAUGUUGUAGUACGGUUACUUUGAGAUGUUUUUUUUUUUCUUCCACGGGAACACUUCUUUCUGGUGUAAAAUCGAUAGUGAAGGUAAAAUUUACCCAAAUUUCUAGGUGGACAGGCGACUUUUGUGUCUGCACAGGUCACGGAAAAGGCGGCUGUCGACACUUCGUCAACACCACGGGAUUCCGACAUUACUCCAUACGUUACCUCCGAGUGCUGUCCAGGAAGUGGACUGACCCUCGCUGGAAAGGACCAUUUAGGGUUCUGGCUAGAACCUCACACGACAUCCAAUUGGAGACCAAGGGUCAUAAGUGGUAUCAUUACUCGCAGUUGAGACCGCCACCUGACAUUAUACCUGACAAUGGUGAGCGUGAAAGUUGACUGCCCGGACAGGCAAGUCAAGAGAGGGAAGGUGAAGAUGAUCAGAAUUGAGUCUAAAUCAAAGAUGUCAACAAUGUCAACAAUGUCUGUGCCUGAAAAACAAUUAACAAUGUCAACAA
Long non-coding RNA from Syngnathoides biaculeatus (alligator pipefish), 518 nucleotides. RefSeq lists it as uncharacterized. The record is from RefSeq and is a predicted model, not a curated record. The transcript has 3 exons. NCBI's taxonomy places the organism in Eukaryota, Metazoa, Chordata, Actinopteri, Syngnathiformes, Syngnathidae.